GGUUGAUCCUGCCAGUAGUCAUAUGCUUGUCUCAAAGAUUAAGCCAUGCAUGUCUAAGUAUAAGCAAUUUAUACAGUGAAACUGCGAAUGGCUCAUUAAAUCAGUUAUCGUUUAUUUGAUAGUUCCUUUACUACAUGGAUAACCGUGGUAAUUCUAGAGCUAAUACAUGCGUAAAGUCCCGACUUCUGGAAGGGAUGUAUUUAUUAGAUAAAAAAUCAAUGUCUUCGGACUCAAUGAUGAUUCAUAAUAACUUUUCGAAGCUCAUGGCUUUUUGCUGGAGCUGGUUCAUUCAA
This 293-nucleotide ribosomal RNA is filed under the name uncultured eukaryote. RNAcentral's name for it is "partial 18S ribosomal RNA". It matches the Rfam family "Eukaryotic small subunit ribosomal RNA", at positions 6 to 302 of the family's 1831-position model. The record is from RNAcentral.